ACGAACGCUGGCGGCAUGCCUAAUACAUGCAAGUCGAGCGGUGCAGCAAUGCAUAGCGGCGGACGGGUGAGUAACGCGUGGGCAACCCGCCUCAAAGGUUGGGAUAACACCCCGAAAGGGUGCUAAUACCGAGUGUGCUCUAGGUGCCGCAUGGCAUAUAGAGGAUAGGAGAAAUCCGUUUUGAGAUGGGCCCGCGUCUGAUUAGCUAGUUGGUAGGGUAACGGCCUACCAAGGCGACGAUCAGUAGCCG
RNAcentral lists this ribosomal RNA (250 nucleotides) under uncultured bacterium. RNAcentral's name for it is "partial 16S ribosomal RNA". It matches the Rfam family "Bacterial small subunit ribosomal RNA", at positions 29 to 289 of the family's 1533-position model. The record is from RNAcentral.